CAUGCUUAACACAUGCAAGUCGAACGGUAACAGUCCCUUCGGGGAGCUGACGAGUGGCGGACGGGUGAGUAAUGCGUAGGAAUCUACCGAGUAGCGGGGGAUAGCCUGGGGAAACUCAGGGUAAUACCGCAUAAGCCCUAAGGGGGAAAGCAGGGGACCGAAAGGCCUUGCACUAUUCGAUGAGCCUACGUCGGAUUAGCUUGUUGGUGGGGUAAAGGCCUACCAAGGCGACGAUCCGUAGCUGGUCUGAGAGGACGACCAGCCACACUGGGACUGAGACACGGCCCAGACUCCUACGGGAGGCAGCAGUGGGGAAUAUUGGACAAUGGGCGCAAGCCUGAUCCAGCAAUGCCGCGUGUGUGAAGAAGGCCUGCGGGUUGUAAAGCACUUUCAGUGGGGAGGAGAGGACCCGUGCUAAUACCACGGGUAAGAGACGUUACCCACAGAAGAAGCACCGGCUAACUCUGUGCCAGCAGCCGCGGCAAUACAGAGGGUGCAAGCGUUAAUCGGAAUUACUGGGCGUAAAGGGUGCGUAGGUGGUUGGACAAGUUAGGUGUGAAAGUCCCGGGCUUAACCUGGGGAUUGCGCCUAAUACGGUUUAGCUAGAGUACUGUAGAGGAAAGUGGAAUUUCCGGUGUAGCGGUGAAAUGCGUAGAUAUCGGAAGGAACACCAGUGGCGAAGGCGACUUUCUGGACAGAUACUGACACUGAGGCACGAAAGCAUGGGGAGCAAACAGGAUUAGAUACCCUGGUAGUCCAUGCCGUAAACGAUGAGGACUGGCUGUUGGGUGCCUUGAGCACUUAGUAGCGAAGCAAACGCGUUAAGUCCUCCGCCUGGGGAAGUACGGC
RNAcentral lists this ribosomal RNA (849 nucleotides) under uncultured bacterium. Its description in RNAcentral is "bacterial SSU rRNA". It matches the Rfam family "Bacterial small subunit ribosomal RNA", at positions 43 to 886 of the family's 1533-position model. The record is from RNAcentral.